This 638-nucleotide ribosomal RNA is filed under the name uncultured bacterium. RNAcentral's name for it is "bacterial SSU rRNA". It matches the Rfam family "Bacterial small subunit ribosomal RNA", at positions 88 to 723 of the family's 1533-position model. The record is from RNAcentral.
AUGGCGACCGGCGCACGGGUGAGUAACACGUAUCCAACCUGCCGUCUACUCUUGGACAGCCUUCUGAAAGGAAGAUUAAUACAAGAUGGCAUCAUGAGUCCGCAUGUUCACAUGAUUAAAGGUAUUCCGGUAGACGAUGGGGAUGCGUUCCAUUAGAUAGUAGGCGGGGUAACGGCCCACCUAGUCUUCGAUGGAUAGGGGUUCUGAGAGGAAGGUCCCCCCACAUUGGAACUGAGACACGGUCCAAACUCCUACGGGAGGCAGCAGUGAGGAAUAUUGGUCAAUGGGCGAGAGCCUGAACCAGCCAAGUAGCGUGAGGGAUGACUGCCCUAUGGGUUGUAAACUUCUUUUAUAAAGGAAUAAAGUCGGGUAUGCAUACCCGUUUGCAUGUACUUUAUGAAUAAGGAUCGGCUAACUCCGUGCCAGCAGCCGCGGUAAUACGGAGGAUCCGAGCGUUAUCCGGAUUUAUUGGGUUUAAAGGGAGCGUAGAUGGAUGUUUAAGUCAGUUGUGAAAGUUUGCGGCUCAACCGUAAAAUUGCAGUUGAUACUGGAUAUCUUGAGUGCAGUUGAGGCAGGCGGAAUUCGUGGUGUAGCGGUGAAAUGCUUAGAUAUCACGAAGAACUCCGAUUGCGAAGGCA